ACACAUGCAGUCGAGCGGAAGAGAGAAGCUUGCUUCUCAAUUCAGCGGCGGACGGGUGAGUAAUGCCUAGGAAUCUGCCUGGUAGUGGGGGACAACGUUUCGAAAGGAACGCUAAUACCGCAUACGUCCUACGGGAGAAAGCAGGGGACCUUCGGGCCUUGCGCUAUCAGAUGAGCCUAGGUCGGAUUAGCUAGUUGGUGGGGUAAUGGCUCACCAAGGCGACGAUCCGUAACUGGUCUGAGAGGAUGAUCAGUCACACUGGAACUGAGACACGGUCCAGACUCCUACGGGAGGCAGCAGUGGGGAAUAUUGGACAAUGGGCGAAAGCCUGAUCCAGCCAUGCCGCGUGUGUGAAGAAGGUCUUCGGAUUGUAAAGCACUUUAAGUUGGGAGGAAGGGCAGUAAAUUAAUACUUUGCUGUUUUGACGUUACCGACAGAAUAAGCACCGGCUAACUCUGUGCCAGCAGCCGCGGUAAUACAGAGGGUGCAAGCGUUAAUCGGAAUUACUGGGCGUAAAGCGCGCGUAGGUGGUUUGUUAAGUUGGAUGUGAAAUCCCCGGGCUCAACCUGGGAACUGCAUUCAAAACUGACAAGCUAGAGUAUGGUAGAGGGUGGUGGAAUUUCCUGUGUAGCGGUGAAAUGCGUAGAUAUAGGAAGGAACACCAGUGGCG
RNAcentral lists this ribosomal RNA (670 nucleotides) under bacterium H2R1print. RNAcentral's name for it is "bacterial SSU rRNA". It matches the Rfam family "Bacterial small subunit ribosomal RNA", at positions 51 to 717 of the family's 1533-position model. The record is from RNAcentral.